UGGGGAAUUUUCCGCAAUGGGCGCAAGCCUGACGGAGCAAUACCGCGUGAGGGAGGAAGGCUUUUGGGUUGUAAACCUCUUUUGUUAAGGAAGAAGCAAGUGACGGUACUUAACGAAUCAGCAUCGGCUAACUCCGUGCCAGCAGCCGCGGUAAUACGGAGGAUGCAAGCGUUAUCCGGAAUUAUUGGGCGUAAAGCGUCCGCAGGCGGCCGUUCAAGUCUGCUGUCAAAGCCCGCAGCUCAACUGUGGAUGGGCAGUGGAAAGUGAAUGGCUAGUGCGUGGUAGGGGUAGAGGGAAUUCCUAGUGUAGCGGUGAAAUGCGUAGAUAUUAGGAAGAACACCAGUGGCGAAGGCGCUCUACUGGGCCACGACUGACGCUGAGGGACGAAAGCUAGGGGAGCGAAAGGGAUUAGAUACCCCCGUAGUCC
RNAcentral lists this ribosomal RNA (427 nucleotides) under uncultured prokaryote. RNAcentral describes it as "bacterial SSU rRNA". It matches the Rfam family "Bacterial small subunit ribosomal RNA", at positions 355 to 796 of the family's 1533-position model. The record is from RNAcentral.